Molecule: long non-coding RNA, 536 nt
Organism: Eubalaena glacialis (North Atlantic right whale)
Lineage: Eukaryota; Metazoa; Chordata; Mammalia; Artiodactyla; Balaenidae
Exons: 3
Source: RefSeq, a predicted model, not a curated record
UCUCACUCUUCUUUUCUUUAGACUUUGCGCGUUCCUUGCGGCGGCGGUCACGGGACCGUGAUCGGGAACGGGGCCCUUCUCGAACUUUGUCCCGAUCCCAUUCACGCUCUGAUCGAGUUCGCUCCCGCCGCUCCAUCUCCCGUUCCCGCUCUGCCCACUGUUCCCGCACCGCCCGCUCCUGCUCCCGCUGCUCUGCCCUGGGGUGCUGUGGUGGCUGGGCUGGGGGCGGGGGCGGGGGGUGCAGCGGCCGUGGUACCCCCUGCUCCUCUGUCUUAGUUUCAGAGGGACGGUCCACCAAGAGGCCUCGGUGGUAAUCCAGCUGCGGGUAGAGGAGGGACAAGGACAGUCAGGAUGAAGAUGACAUCACUCCCACCAGAGGAGCCCAGUUGCGGCAUGUGGGAUCUAGUUCCCUGACCAGGGAUCAAACCCAGGCCCCCUGCACUGGGAGCGUGGAGUCUUAGCCACUGGACCACCAGGGAAGUCCCUACAGAGGGAUUCUUGAACACCAAACAGCACUUGAGCAGCCAGAGACAAGA